AAGAUAGAAGAUAAGAAAGACGAUGAUAAAAGGGACGACGAGAAAAAAAAGGACAACGAGAAGAAAAAAGAGAAGAAGGACGACGAGAAGAAAAAGAGUAAGAAAGGUGGUGAUAAGGAUGACGAUGAGAAAAAGGAAAAGAAAGAUAAGAAGAAGGACAAAAAGGAUGAUAAAGACGAGAAGGACGAGAAAAAGAAAAAGAAGAGUGAGAAGGAUGAUGAUGAUGAGAAGGAUGACAAGAAGAAGGAGAAGAAGGAUGAGAAGAAAAAGAAGGAAAAGAAGGACGGCGAUAAAAAUGAAAAGAAAAAUGAUGAGGAGAAGAAAGAUAAGAAGAAGAAGGACA
RNAcentral lists this long non-coding RNA (343 nucleotides) under Linum usitatissimum (flax). Its description in RNAcentral is "long non-coding RNA (LUSI_LNC003157)". The record is from RNAcentral. Lineage: Eukaryota; Viridiplantae; Streptophyta; Magnoliopsida; Malpighiales; Linaceae.